This 273-nucleotide unclassified non-coding RNA is filed under the name uncultured fungus. RNAcentral's name for it is "sequence contains ITS2". The record is from RNAcentral. Lineage: Eukaryota; Fungi.
CUAUCAUCAUCUCACUUAUCUUUUUGUUAAGAUGAGUGGAAAAUGAGCUUUCGAACUUUUCGAAGGCUUGAAAUCUCUGAUUGAGCUUCGUUUCCUGACCUGCACUAUUCAGUGGGCAAACAAAGGCUCUGUUACGUGGAUAAUUUCACCUUACGGUGUAUCCUAUACGUCGCAGCGGCCGCACAUUGAGCAGUUGGAGAAACUAACUCACAAGCGAAUAACGUUGUUAACUUAAACACUUAACAAUCUUGUUCAACUUAUUCUUCUUGAAUA